GCCAUUUUGGGAGCGCUGCGAGGCGGUCUCUCGUCCAGCGUGGCCUGCUCUCAUGGCGCCGCUGAAACCUCGCUCCUCGUACGAAGCAGCAGCUGAAAUCGUCUUCCUGAGGGGGUGAUUGAGGAAUGGCAGCUAGCCCUCCACAACCAUUGCACAGGUGCACUCUCCAUCGAGGAGGAGCUGGUGGGUGCUCAGGAGUCAGCUGGACCUUGCCUGCACUGCCCUAGGCCUGUGACAUCCUCUCAGCCUGUACCCAGGCAGCUGUCGAGCUCCAGAUGCCAUGUGUCUGCGUGGGCACCUCGAGGAAUGCUGCACGCUUAAAACCUUUAGAUACCACAGGUUUGGCUUUUGUUGUGUUCUCUAGUCUUCCAAACACAUGGCUUAUCAGUGCCCCACACACAGGGGCAGAAGAUCAUCACCAGCUGUAUGCCAUCAGGCCCUGUGAAGUUGGCACUGUUGCCCACUGCCAGCAAGGCAGAGCCCCUCACUGUCCUGACAUUAGGGUUCCUGCCACCCUGCAGCUCCCUGCAGCAGCAUUCCCUUCUCUGUAGAUGUUGUCCACUUCUGUGGGCCACACUUGAGGCAACGUCAGGUCAAUCCGCAUGAUGACGAAUUGGUGGAGGGCUGCCAAAGCCAAGUUGGAGGCUGGCCACACAGAAGGACGCCACAGGGGCAUAUGCCGUGCUGAGAGGUGAAGAUGCUGAACCUCACCUGGGGUGUGCCUGCAAAGGGCUCUCGAUGAUGGUGACCCAAGACUUGGUGACUGCCUUCCUCUGCCACAACCAUGACAGCCUCCAGAGACUGCUUCCUGGCAGAGUCCAGUGUUCUCUGACCAGGCUUUUUUAGAUGUCCACACAUGGAAGGUCCAAUGUUUAAAACAGAGUUUACUCUUUUGAGGCUAUUUGCAUUUACAAGAGUUUUCCAUUUAGUAGGGAGAUACAGCAGUCAGUAUAAAGGCAUGUUACAUUUUGCAGACUAUUGCAUUUCCAGUAUACUGUGGAAUCACAAUAUAGUUGUGAAUUUCA
Long non-coding RNA from Calidris pugnax (ruff), 1025 nucleotides. RefSeq lists it as uncharacterized. The record is from RefSeq and is a predicted model, not a curated record. NCBI's taxonomy places the organism in Eukaryota, Metazoa, Chordata, Aves, Charadriiformes, Scolopacidae. The transcript is spliced from 2 exons.